UCAAGCCUAAGAGGCCUCUCGGCCAAACCAAGAACAAAAAAAAAUUUUAGCCUUCAAUCCAAAAAUCUUGUUCUUCUUGAAUUAGUAACAAGUUCAAGACGCUCUUCAACGUGGUAUAACUAGUUUGGCGGAAGAACCACGUUUGCGGAAAGUUGGAAUUUGAAGGAAAGAUUUUGGACGAAAUUGAAGUCGACGCCAAGCGAGCGUAAGGCGCUAUCGAGGUACAGACGCACCAGGUGAUACGCCGCCAGCGUAGGGUUCUGAUUCAGCUGUUUUGAAGAGCUCCUUUGAUCCGGAGCAUACACUUUUGGUAUAUAUCUUCUGUUUUCCGUAUGUUCUGCAUGUAUGGAAAUUUUGGGUACGACGGGGCCCUGUCCCGUCAUAUGAUUCUGUAUGUCUGUAGAGGCCUGUAG
Lycium barbarum (goji berry) is the source of this 413-nucleotide long non-coding RNA. RefSeq lists it as uncharacterized. The record is from RefSeq and is a predicted model, not a curated record. NCBI's taxonomy places the organism in Eukaryota, Viridiplantae, Streptophyta, Magnoliopsida, Solanales, Solanaceae. The transcript is spliced from 3 exons.